UACGUAGGGGGCAAGCGUUGUCCGGAAUCAUUGGGCGUAAAGAGCGUGUAGGCGGCCCGAUAAGUCCGCCGUGAAAGUCCAGGGCUCAACCCUGGAAUGCCGGUGGAAACUGUCGGGCUGGAGUCCGGAAGAGGCGAGUGGAAUUCCUGGUGUAGCGGUGAAAUGCGCAGAUAUCGAGAGGAACACCAGUGGCGAAGGCGAGUCCCUGGACAACACCUGACACUGAGGCACGAAAGCUAGGGGAGCAAACAGG
This 253-nucleotide ribosomal RNA is filed under the name uncultured bacterium. RNAcentral describes it as "partial 16S ribosomal RNA". It matches the Rfam family "Bacterial small subunit ribosomal RNA", at positions 524 to 776 of the family's 1533-position model. The record is from RNAcentral.